GAAUUACUGGGCGUAAAGCGCACGCAGGCGGUCUGUCAAGUCGGAUGUGAAAUCCCCGGGCUCAACCUGGGAACUGCAUUCGAAACUGGCAGGCUUGAGUCUUGUAGAGGGGGGUGGAAUUCCAGGUGUAGCGGUGAAAUGCGUAGAGAUCUGGAGGAAUACCGGUGGCGAAGGCGGCCCCCUGGACAAAGACUGACGCUCAGGUGCGAAAGCGUGGGGAGCAAACAGGAUUAGAUACCCUGGUAGUCCACGCCGUAAACGAUGUCUACUUGGAGGUUGUGCCCUUGAGGCGUGGCUUCCGGAGCUAACGCGUUAAGUAGACCGCCUGGGGAGUACGGCCGCAAGGUUAAAACUCAAAUGAAUUGACGGGGGCCCGCACAAGCGGUGGAGCAUGUGGUUUAAUUCGAUGCAACGCGAAGAACCUUACCUGGUCUUGACAUCCACAGAACUUUCCAGAGAUGGAUUGGUGCCUUCGGGAACUGUGAGACAGGUGCUGCAUGGCUGUCGUCAGCUCGUGUUGUGAAAUGUUGGGUUAAGUCCCGCAACGAGCGCAAC
This 555-nucleotide ribosomal RNA is filed under the name Salmonella enterica subsp. enterica serovar Typhimurium. RNAcentral describes it as "bacterial SSU rRNA". It matches the Rfam family "Bacterial small subunit ribosomal RNA", at positions 548 to 1102 of the family's 1533-position model. Lineage: Bacteria; Pseudomonadati; Pseudomonadota; Gammaproteobacteria; Enterobacterales; Enterobacteriaceae. The record is from RNAcentral.